GACGAACGCUGGCGGCGUGCUUAACACAUGCAAGUCGAGCGGUAAGGCCCUUUCGGGGUACACGAGCGGCGAACGGGUGAGUAACACGUAGGUAACCUACCUCCGGGACCGGGAUAACCUGUCGAAAGACGGGCUAAUACCAGAUAAGACCACCGAGGUUGCGGCCUCGGCGGUAAAAGAUGGCCUCUGCUUGCAAGCUAUCACUUGGAGAUGGGCCUGCGCGCCAUUAGCUAGUUGGGGGUAGG
RNAcentral lists this ribosomal RNA (245 nucleotides) under uncultured bacterium. RNAcentral describes it as "partial 16S ribosomal RNA". It matches the Rfam family "Bacterial small subunit ribosomal RNA", at positions 28 to 261 of the family's 1533-position model. The record is from RNAcentral.